RNAcentral lists this ribosomal RNA (112 nucleotides) under Mucor piriformis. RNAcentral describes it as "5.8S ribosomal RNA". It matches the Rfam family "5.8S ribosomal RNA", at positions 1 to 112 of the family's 154-position model. From Rfam's summary of the family: 5.8S ribosomal RNA (5.8S rRNA) is a component of the large subunit of the eukaryotic ribosome. The record is from RNAcentral. Lineage: Eukaryota; Fungi; Mucoromycota; Mucoromycetes; Mucorales; Mucoraceae.
CAACUUUUAACAACGGAUCUCUUGGUUCUCGCAUCGAUGAAGAACGUAGCAUAGUGCGAUAACUAGUGUGAAUUGCAUAUUCAGUGAAUCAUCUAGUCUNUGAACGCAUCUU